Molecule: long non-coding RNA, 533 nt
Organism: Lutra lutra (Eurasian river otter)
Lineage: Eukaryota; Metazoa; Chordata; Mammalia; Carnivora; Mustelidae
Exons: 4
Source: RefSeq, a predicted model, not a curated record
CUCGGUUUUGAAGAGGGCGCGCGUUCACGUUGGGCCCUUCGCAUCUGUAGACGCUGGAGGCCCGCAGAAAGGAUACUGUGUCCGAUGAGAUAAAGCAUGUGAGGGUGCUUUGUAACCGGAAAGUGCCUUUCAAAAUAGCUCCUGAUUUGCUGCUGGUACCUGGUAGAGAUGGAACACUUGACCAUGUGACAUCAAGUGACUGUGUGAAUAAUCAAACCAACCAUCAUGACCUGGUGUUAUCUGAUUCACCAGACCAUACAAGUGGAUGAGCACAACAGCAGUCCACGCCCUACAAGACUGGGAACACUGUCACAACUAAACUGAACAAGCAGGACUGAAUGACACCACCCCAUGAUGAUUUUGUAGCUGAUGGGAGGAAAUUGCAUAGUGGAAAAGAGUAAGUUGCUUUUGGAAGAGACCGAUGCCUCAGCAGAAUGGGGGGACCCCAGAUAUUCAAGCAUCUCUCCAACAUAUCUCCCUCUCCUAGAUCUUGGCCCUGCAGUCUUCACCAAUUUGGCAGCUUCUCAGUGCCU